AAAUAUUUUUCUAACAUAAUUAAUUUGGAUGAGGACAAUGAUAACGUAAGUUUUUUUUUUUGAGAGAGAGAUAGGUAGCACGCUAGCCAUUUCGUUUAUUUUAUUUAAAAAUAAAUUUAGUUGAAAAUAUGAAUAAAUUAAAAUUUAAAUUUGAAAUUUUGAAUAUCAAUCAUUAAAUUUUUUGUCACUUAUUUUAGGGACGGGCUAGUUGUAAUAUUCUGGUCUG
This 226-nucleotide long non-coding RNA is filed under the name Ananas comosus (pineapple). Its description in RNAcentral is "long non-coding RNA (ACOM_LNC019015)". The record is from RNAcentral. Lineage: Eukaryota; Viridiplantae; Streptophyta; Magnoliopsida; Poales; Bromeliaceae.